AGUGAACGCUGGCGGUAGGCCUAACACAUGCAAGUCGAACGGCAGCACACUAAGAGCUUGCUCUUACGGGUGGCGAGUGGCGGACGGGUCAGGAAUACAUCGGAAUCUACUUUUUCGUGGGGGAUAACGUAGGGAAACUUACGCUAAUACCGCAUACGACCUACGGGUGAAAGCAGGGGAUCUUCGGACCUUGCGCGAUUGAAUGAGCCGAUGUCGGAUUAGCUAGUUGGCGGGGUAAAGGCCCACCACGGCGACGAUCCGUAGCCGGGCUGAGAGGAUGUACCGCCACUCUGAGAGUGAGACACGACCCAGGGUCCUAGGGGAGGCAGAGAUGGGGAAUGUAGGCAAAAGGGGGGAAUCUUGCACAAUGCGUGCAAGGCUGAUGAAGAGACCCUGCGGGUGGUAAGGCCCUUUUGUGGGGAAAGAAAGCUAUCAGGUUAGAACCAGGGUGUGCGACGGGACCCCAAGAAGAAGGAACGGCUAACUUUGGU
This 491-nucleotide ribosomal RNA is filed under the name uncultured bacterium. RNAcentral describes it as "partial 16S ribosomal RNA". It matches the Rfam family "Bacterial small subunit ribosomal RNA", at positions 29 to 507 of the family's 1533-position model. The record is from RNAcentral.